This 681-nucleotide ribosomal RNA is filed under the name Furcaspis sp. MSG-2019. RNAcentral describes it as "partial large subunit ribosomal RNA". It matches the Rfam family "Eukaryotic large subunit ribosomal RNA", at positions 470 to 954 of the family's 3401-position model. The record is from RNAcentral. Lineage: Eukaryota; Metazoa; Arthropoda; Insecta; Hemiptera; Diaspididae.
GGUUGUACGGCGCUUUCGCGCGCGUACGGUCGUUUGAUAUUUCCGUCGUCGUCGAAAGGCGCAGACGUCGCGACCUGUUUGUUGUCGGUCCUCGUUCGAAAGAGACGCGGUCGAGUUCGUUGCGUGGCGUGUUUGCGCGCGUUACCCGGCGAAGCCGCGUGUCUCUGGCCGAUGACGGACAGUGUGGUGUGGUGUCCGUUGCCGUCGUUUUGUGAGCGCGAGCAACGGUACCGGUCGGCGACGAAUUCUUCGGGCCUCUUUCCGACCCGUCUUGAAACACGGACCAAGGAGUCUAACGUGCGCGCGAGUCGCGGGGCUGAACAGCGAAACCCGUGUGCGCUUUGGCGCGCUUGAAGGCGUAAUGAAAGUGAAUGGGGAAGAUGGCGUUCCGAGUACACUUUUCCGUGAUCGUUGGUAUCGGGGCCGGACGUCCGCAUUCCCAGGGCGUCUCAACAACCCAUCGCGGAAUUAGAUUGUCGUCUUUCGGGGCGGCCUUCGGUCUGCGUUGAGUCGAGGCGCACCUAGAGCGUGCACGUUGGUACCCGAAAGAUGGUGAACUAUGCCUGGCCAGGAUGAAGUCAGGGGAAACCCUGAUGGAGGUCCGCAGCGAUUCUGACGUGCAAAUCGAUCGUCUGAGCUGGGUAUAGGGGCGAAAGACUAAUCGAACCAUCUAGUAGCUGG